ACCGGUGCACGGGUGCGUAAUGCGUAUGGACCUACCUCUUACUGGGGAAUAGCCCGAAGAAAUUCGGAUUAACUCCCCAUAGUAUCGCAUGAUUAAAGUUUACGGUAAGACAUGGCCAUGCGUCCCAUUAGCUAGAUGGUAAGGUAACGGCUUACCAUGGCAACGAUGGGUAGGGGGCCUGAGAGGGUGAUCCCCCACACUGGUACUGAGACACGGACCAGACUCCUACGGGAGGCAGCAGUGAGGAAUAUUGGGCAAUGGAGGCAACUCUGACCCAGCCAUGCCGCGUGAAGGAAGAAGGUUUAUGGAUCGUAAACUUCUUUUAUUUGGGAAUAAACCUUUCUACGUGUAGAAAGCUGAAGGUACCAAACGAAUAAGCACCGGCUAACUCCGUGCCAGCAGCCGCGGUAAUACGGAGGGUGCAAGCGUUAUCCGGAAUCAUUGGGUUUAAAGGGUCCGCAGGCGGACUAAUAAGUCAGUGGUGAAAUCCCAUCGCUCAACGAUGGAACUGCCAUUGAAACUGUUAGUCUUGAAUUCGGUCGAAGUAGGCGGAAUGUGUCAUGUAGCGGUGAAAUGCAUAGAUAUGACACAGACACCGAUAGCGAAGCAGCCUACUAGAACUGGAUUGACGCUCAUGGACGAAGCGUUGAGAAGCCGACAGGCAUGUAUAGCCUGGUAGUUCGGCGGUC
This 689-nucleotide ribosomal RNA is filed under the name uncultured bacterium. Its description in RNAcentral is "bacterial SSU rRNA". It matches the Rfam family "Bacterial small subunit ribosomal RNA", at positions 94 to 803 of the family's 1533-position model. The record is from RNAcentral.